UACGUAGGGGGCAAGCGUUGUCCGGAAUCAUUGGGCGUAAAGAGCGUGAAGGCGGCCCGGUAAGUCCGCUGUGAAAGUCCAGGGCUCAACCCUGGGAUGCCGGUGGAUACUGUCGGGCUCGAGUCCGGAAGAGGAGUGUGGAAUUCCUGGUGUAGCGGUGAAAUGCGCAGAUAUCAGGAGGAACACCAAUUGCGAAGGCAGCUCGCUGGGACGUUACUGACGCUGAGACGCGAAAGCGUGGGGAGCAAACAGG
RNAcentral lists this ribosomal RNA (253 nucleotides) under uncultured bacterium. RNAcentral describes it as "partial 16S ribosomal RNA". It matches the Rfam family "Bacterial small subunit ribosomal RNA", at positions 524 to 776 of the family's 1533-position model. The record is from RNAcentral.